GUCAUAAUGAUAUCAUUCUCUAUAAAACUGUGGAAGUUGCGUCUUAAUGAUAUCAUUCUCUAUAAAACUGUGGAAGUUGCGUCAUAACGAUAUCAUUCUCUAUAAAACUGUGGAAGUUGCGUCAUAAUGAUAUCAUUCUCUAUAAAACUGUGGAAGUUGCGUCAUAAUGAUAUCAUUCUCUAUAAAACUGUGGAAGUUGCGUCAUAACGAUAUCAUUCUCUUUAAAACUGUGGAAGUUGCGUCAUAAUGAUAUCAUUCUCUAUAAAACUGUGGAAGUUGCGUCAUAAUGAUAUCAUUCUCUAUAAAACUGUGGAAGUUGCGUCAUAAUGAUAUCAUUCUCUAUAAAACUGUGGAAGUUGCAUCAUAAUGAUAUCAUUCUCUAUAAAACUGUGGAAGUUGCAUCAUAUCAUUCUCUAUAAAACUGUGGAAGUUGCGUCAUAAUGAUAUCAUUCUCUAUAAAACUGUGGAGUUGCGUCAUAAUGAUAUCAUUCUCCAUAAAACUGUGGAAGUUGCGUCAUAAUAAUAUCAUUCUCUAUAAAACUGUGGAAGUUGCGUCAUAAUGAUAUCAUUCUCUAUAAAACUGUGGAGUUGCUUGCGUCAUAUCAUUCUCUAUAAAACUGUGAAGUUGUGUCAUAAUGAUAUCCUUCUCUAAAAGACAGUCACUUGUCAUCACUUACUCAGCACCCUACACUUUACAAUUAUAGACAAAAUGUCUGUAGGUAUAUCGUUGUCUAUGAGUUCUAAAAGAGGUAUAAACGAAAGUGAGAAAUUACACCCAUGGAUAGUCAUAACACAAAGCGUGUGACAUAGGAAAAGUCCCUGCUGCUAUUUUGUUUGCAUAUUUCAUCCACACAGAGAAUGUGUCAUCAUCUCAGACUGGAGAUGUGACUUCACUCUCUGUCCAUUAGCCAAUGGGACCCGACACCCUCGUCCUGCACGUCUGCAACCGGCUGCACUACCACUAAUCAGCAUGUGUCUAUGGCUUUAUGCAAACCACAGUGUGGGUUUCAGCUGUGGCCUGAUGAAGUCUUCCAUGGCUCCACAUGUGGACUGUGUAGGUUGGAACACCUCAGCCAGGACCUGUCAGUUCCUGUUCCAAGCCAUCCUCGUCUAAAUGGAUCCUGAUUGGCUGUUUAGACAGGGAAGUGUGCGAAACUUUGAAGUGGGAGAGGUUGAAUCAGAAUCAGUAUCGCUCAUUGGAGUGUAACUUCAUUUUUGCUGAAUGUGCCAAACCACAGAUGUACGUUUUGAUAAAGAAUGAUGUUGAAACACAUCAGUUUUUUUUAGAUAAAAGAGCAACAUGAAUUGAAAAAUGUUACAACUGGGGUACAUUCUUGGGUGUUGCUGUUUUCCCUCGUUGGAAGACUUCUAAUAUUUCCGCUAUGUUUGCAUGGUUCCCCGCUAAGGCAUCAAGUCAUAAUGUUUCUUUGGUUGAAUCUCAAUCAUAUUCAAUAAAUCUUAUUGUAACAUGGGUCGUAUAAAGGGGACCAAGGCGCAGCGUGUAAAGUGCUCAUAUUUCCUUUUAAUGAUAACACUUAAACAAAACAACAAAAUGGCAGCCAACAGUUCCGUCAGGUACACUUGACAAAACGGAAAACAAC
RNAcentral lists this long non-coding RNA (1601 nucleotides) under Salmo salar (Atlantic salmon). Its description in RNAcentral is "lncRNA (ENSSSAG00000096218.1)". The record is from RNAcentral. Lineage: Eukaryota; Metazoa; Chordata; Actinopteri; Salmoniformes; Salmonidae.